UCCAGAUGUGGUGGUGUGUGCCUGUAGUCCCAGCUUCUCAGGAGGCUGAGGCAGGAAAAUCACUUGAGCCCAGGAGUUCUGGGCUGUAGAGAGCUAUGCCAAUUGGGUGUCUGCACUAAGUUUGGCAUCAGUAUGGUGACCUCCCAGGAGCGGAGGCCCACCAAGUUGCCAAAGGGGUAUGGGGUGAACCAGCACAGGUUGGAAAUGGAGCGGGUCAAAACUCCCUUGCUGAUCAGUAAUGGGAUCUCACCUGUGAAUAGCCACUGCACACCAGCCUUGGCAGCAUAGUGAGACCCUGUCUCU
This 303-nucleotide signal recognition particle RNA is filed under the name Carlito syrichta (Philippine tarsier). RNAcentral's name for it is "Metazoan signal recognition particle RNA (ENSTSYG00000032841.1)". It matches the Rfam family "Metazoan signal recognition particle RNA". From Rfam's summary of the family: The signal recognition particle (SRP) is a universally conserved ribonucleoprotein. Lineage: Eukaryota; Metazoa; Chordata; Mammalia; Primates; Tarsiidae. The record is from RNAcentral.